Molecule: small RNA, 22 nt
Filed under: Arabidopsis thaliana (thale cress)
Lineage: Eukaryota; Viridiplantae; Streptophyta; Magnoliopsida; Brassicales; Brassicaceae
Description: ATSL064890
Source: RNAcentral
GAGGGAGGAGGAAGAAGAAAAG